AACAAAACGAUUACCCUGAACGGUGGAUCACUUGGCUCGCGGGUCG
This 46-nucleotide ribosomal RNA is filed under the name Pieris canidia (Indian cabbage white). RNAcentral's name for it is "partial 5.8S ribosomal RNA". Lineage: Eukaryota; Metazoa; Arthropoda; Insecta; Lepidoptera; Pieridae. The record is from RNAcentral.